This 303-nucleotide ribosomal RNA is filed under the name uncultured fungus. RNAcentral's name for it is "eukaryotic LSU rRNA". The stretch from base 1 to 71 matches the Rfam family "5.8S ribosomal RNA", at positions 84 to 154 of the family's 154-position model. The record is from RNAcentral. Lineage: Eukaryota; Fungi.
GUGAAUCAUCGAAUCUUUGAACGCAACUGGCACUCUUUGGCUAUCCAAAGAGUAUACCUGUUUGAGUAUCAUGUACACCAUCUUUAACCCAAGAGGUUUCUUGGGUCAAAGGAGUAUGAGUUUUACCACUCAAUGAGGGGUUAACUUUGAAAUAAAUGGUCAACUUGAGACCAAAGUUUAGCUAAUUGAAACAAUUUGGCAUAAUUUUAGUCACCAACAAGUUGAUCCAUACCUAAAUUAACAAUAUUGAUCUCAAAUCAGGCAGGAUUACCCGCUGAAUUUAAGCAUAUCAAUAAGGCGAGG